CAUUUAAGGAGGUAGACCUAGGUUAAGGGAAAUAACUCUUAAAAUCAUCAGUACGUUUGUGUCAACCAUUUUCAUAAAUAUAUUCUAAGCUUCUAGGUUACAUAGAUUAAUUUCAAUCUGUUUCAGGUAAAUGCUUAAAAUACAUUGAUGAACUUGACUUUUACAAACGCUUAACUGAUUUAAAGAGUUAUCUCCCUGAACCAAGGUCUACCACCUUAACAAACAAAAAAAAA
Molecule: long non-coding RNA, 233 nt
Filed under: Mytilus galloprovincialis (Mediterranean mussel)
Lineage: Eukaryota; Metazoa; Mollusca; Bivalvia; Mytilida; Mytilidae
Source: RNAcentral